CCAUACAAAAACUUAAUAUAACGUUCUGUCAUUAUUUUACAUUCACCAUUGUUGUAUUGCUAACGUGGCUAGCUUCGAGUUCGGAGUGAGAAUCCAAGUUAACUCACAGAAGUGAAACAUUUUAAAUUGUAUUGCCGAACAUCAACAUGCCUAAAAGAAAGAGUGCUGCCAAAGGCGAUGAGCCUGCAAGACGUUCCGCAAGAUUGUCUUCUAGACCUGCCGCCCCCAAGCCAGCUGCCAAACCCAAAAAAGCGGCAGCACCAAAAAAGGCAGCCAAAGGAAAGAAGGCAGCUGAGAAUGGUGACGCCAAGGCUGAGGCAAAGGUGGAGGCCACUGGAGAUGCCAAAUGAAGAUCGGUUGAAGUUUUGAUUAUUAUGUGUACUUGGUGACUGUACAGUUUAAAAAUAAGUAUUUUUUACCAAGUUUUAUAUUAAAAGAUAUCAUUUAUAGUUCAUUGUGGGCUUGCAUUUGAGGUAAUGAAGCUGUUCCAAGGUUGUUUUUUUAAUUAUUUUUGUCUCACUUUCAUAUCAAUUUUAUGCCAUGUUUAAAUGAAUACCGUCCAUAUCCUGUUAACUAAAUAGAAAAAUACCGUUCUAAUCCCAUUUUGUUUUUAACUGAUGAAUGUUAAAAAUAUUUUUCCUACAUUUUGUUUUAAAAUGUUUUUAAAACCCAAACAUUAUCGUAAGGCAGCUAAAGUGUGUUUCUAAAAUGUUUAAGAGGAAUAGGGGUUUUGCCACUAUCUCCAUUUAGUUUUUUACUGUACAAGUAAUGAAUUACUUACCAAAUGUUUUUAAAAUACUGUACCAACAUUAAGAUCUUGAGACAGAAAACACAGUUUGAAAGUAAUCACUAAAAAAUAAUUCGCUUGUAUUAGGUCAACACACAGAAUCAACCCAGAUACAAUUAAUGUGAACGUAAUCAUUUGUUAAAUCUGAUACAAACUCUUGUUUAUUUCAUUAAAUUAUGUUCUGUAAAAACA
Esox lucius (northern pike) is the source of this 979-nucleotide long non-coding RNA. RefSeq lists it as uncharacterized. NCBI's taxonomy places the organism in Eukaryota, Metazoa, Chordata, Actinopteri, Esociformes, Esocidae. The transcript is spliced from 6 exons. The record is from RefSeq and is a predicted model, not a curated record.